RNAcentral lists this ribosomal RNA (445 nucleotides) under uncultured bacterium. Its description in RNAcentral is "partial 16S ribosomal RNA". It matches the Rfam family "Bacterial small subunit ribosomal RNA", at positions 354 to 796 of the family's 1533-position model. The record is from RNAcentral.
GUGAGGAAUAUUGGUCAAUGGGCGCAAGCCUGAACCAGCCAUGCCGCGUGCAGGAAGACGGUCCUAUGGAUUGUAAACUGCUUUUAUUUGGGAAUAAACUCCGGUACGUGUACCGGCCUGAAGGUACCAAAUGAAUAAGCACCGGCUAACUCCGUGCCAGCAGCCGCGGUAAUACGGAGGGUGCAAGCGUUAUCCGGAAUCAUUGGGUUUAAAUGGUCCGCAGGCGGUCUUAUAAGUCAGUGGUGAAAGCCUACAGCUCAACUGUAGAACUGCCAUUGAUACUGUAGGACUUGAAUUCGAUCGAAGUGGGCGGAAUGUGACAUGUAGCGGUGAAAUGCUUAGAUAUGUCACAGAACACCGAUAGCGAAGGCAGCUCACUAGGUCUGGAUUGACGCUCAGGGACGAAAGCGUGGGGAGCAAACAGGAUUAGAUACCCGGGUAGUCC